RNAcentral lists this ribosomal RNA (228 nucleotides) under uncultured bacterium. RNAcentral describes it as "partial 16S ribosomal RNA". It matches the Rfam family "Bacterial small subunit ribosomal RNA", at positions 568 to 795 of the family's 1533-position model. The record is from RNAcentral.
UACGUAGGCGGAAAAUUAAGUCAGUAGUGAAAUCCUGCAGCUUAACUGUAGAACUGCCAUUGAUACUGAUGUUCUUGAAUGUAGUUGAGGUAGGCGGAAUGUGUAAUGUAGCGGUGAAAUGCUUAGAUAUUACACAGAACACCGAUUACGAAGGCAGCUUGCUAAACUAUGAUUGACGCUGAUGCACGAAAGCGUGGGGAGCGAACAGGAUUAGAUACCCUGGUAGUC